RNAcentral lists this ribosomal RNA (433 nucleotides) under uncultured bacterium. Its description in RNAcentral is "partial 16S ribosomal RNA". It matches the Rfam family "Bacterial small subunit ribosomal RNA", at positions 29 to 507 of the family's 1533-position model. The record is from RNAcentral.
AACGAACGCUGGCGGCGUGCCUAACACAUGCAAGUCGAACGGAACCUCCCGGCUUUUUUGCGCUCGUGUGCUUGCGGCCUGGGAACUUGCCCUUAGGUUAGGUACACUUCCCUGUAGGGGGAGCUAAUAACGCUUAAUCUCAUCCGACAUAGGAUCUCUUGCUUUGGGAUGGGGCCGGGUUAGAUUCGCUGGUUGGUAGUGUAAUAGCCUAUCAUGGCGACGAUCCAUGGCUGGUCGGUGAGCAGGAUUAGCCACACUGGGAAUGCGACACGGCCCAGACUCCUACGGAAGGCAGCAGUGUGGAAUAUUGUACGAUGGGCGAAAGCCUGAUCCAGCAAUGCCGCGUGAGUGAUGAAGGCGGUAGGGUUGUAAAGCUCUCUGACCCGGGAUGAUAAUGACAGUACCGGGAGAAUAAGCUCCGGCUAACUCCGUG